This 61-nucleotide small nuclear RNA is filed under the name Eremothecium gossypii ATCC 10895. Its description in RNAcentral is "AgSNR62 (AGOS_AgSNR62)". The record is from RNAcentral. RNAcentral also lists the same sequence under 1 other name. Lineage: Eukaryota; Fungi; Ascomycota; Saccharomycetes; Saccharomycetales; Saccharomycetaceae.
UAAUGAUGACUUACGUUGUUUCAACCUUAUCUACAUUAUCUGAAAACAUAAUUGAAGAAGA